UCCAUUAUCAUUCGUUCAUUGUUCUGUGCUUGUUGUGUGAGAGGUUAUCUGGUUAGGUUUUGUACUUAGGUACGUAACAAAUCCCAUACUCGUAUAACACCAAGAAGUCAAGAAGAAGGGAAAUAUCUCUUAAGUAUCAUCCCUCUAGGGAAAAGAAAAUUGUAUAGGCCUCUCGCUCAAAUGCCCAAUUCUCAUUUGAGUGUCACUAUAUUACCGCUUGAGCAUCAAUAUAAUGUUUAAGCGACUAGAAUCUUAAAAGAGAGAAUUGCUAUGGUGUUUCUCUUGUCUCCUGAGCAACCAAAAUUCCAGAGCAGAAAGAAUUGUUAUAGGAUCUCUUUCUAGCUUGAACUAAUAUCCAUAGCUUGAGCAACAGUGCUCCUCGCUUAAGCGACGUAUGGUUUCCUAAGCGAAGUGAACAAACUUCACAAAACAAAGUCUUUGAUUUUUUCAUUCUAAAAUCAUUUCUCCUCUAUAUACUAUGUGUUGUAAUUAGAGGAAAAUCUUUUUAAUUAGAAAAAAUAUAU
RNAcentral lists this small RNA (524 nucleotides) under Vigna angularis var. angularis. RNAcentral's name for it is "Non-protein coding transcript". The record is from RNAcentral. Lineage: Eukaryota; Viridiplantae; Streptophyta; Magnoliopsida; Fabales; Fabaceae.